Molecule: non-coding RNA, 94 nt
Filed under: Micromonas pusilla
Lineage: Eukaryota; Viridiplantae; Chlorophyta; Mamiellophyceae; Mamiellales; Mamiellaceae
Source: RNAcentral
CGCGGCGUCGUCCGAGCUCGCCACCGUCGAGGGCGGAUGGAGCGCUCUUCGCGAUAAUUUCGUCGCCGCGGCUCCGAGGGACACUCGGGCUCAG